This 419-nucleotide non-coding RNA is filed under the name Cladosiphon okamuranus. The record is from RNAcentral. Lineage: Eukaryota; Phaeophyceae; Ectocarpales; Chordariaceae.
GGGGCUGUGUUGGCUUCGACAUUUAAAAUGAUACUAAUUACUAAGCAGAUUUAAACCUUAAAAUAUAAAAUAAUUGCAAACAAUAUUAUGAGUUUUAAUAAAAACCAAGUUUUUGCAUAAAAUUCUUGUGUUUUAAUAUCAAUCAACUCUAUAAUCGUUGGUUGAAGUAGGUAUAAGAUUGUUUUCCUCCUAAAUAUUUAUAAAAUUUAGUUUUGGUCAUAUUAUUACUAUCUACUACGAUAUGAAAUUUAUGUUUAUUAGUAAAUAUUAAAUAUAAACUGAUUUACAUUUUUGUUAGCAAUUUGUUUACUAAUAGUUUUAAAUUUAACUGAAACAACUGAUAACUAAAUCUGUGAUUUCAGUAAUUAGUUUGAUAAUUUUUUAAAUGGACGUGGGUUCAAAUCCCACCAGCUCCUCCC